GACGAACCGUGCGAACGUUAUUCGGAAUCAUUGGGCUUAAAGGGCGCGUAGGCGGGUCGACACGUCGGAACUGAAAUCCCCCGGCUCAACCGGGGAACGGGCUCCGAUACGAUUGACCUCGAGGUGAGAAGGGGGACCUGGAACGUCCGGUGGAGCGGUGAAAUGCGUUGAGAUCGGACGGAACGCCGAUGGCGAAAGCAAGGUCCUAUACUCAUCCUGACGCUGAGGUGCGAAAGCGUGGGGAGCGAACGGG
Molecule: ribosomal RNA, 253 nt
Filed under: uncultured bacterium
Lineage: Bacteria
Description: partial 16S ribosomal RNA
Rfam family: Bacterial small subunit ribosomal RNA
Source: RNAcentral